RNAcentral lists this ribosomal RNA (503 nucleotides) under uncultured bacterium. RNAcentral's name for it is "bacterial SSU rRNA". It matches the Rfam family "Bacterial small subunit ribosomal RNA", at positions 8 to 486 of the family's 1533-position model. The record is from RNAcentral.
AGAGUUUGAUCCUGGCUCAGAACGAACGUUGGCGGCGUGCUUAACACAUGCAAGUCGAACGAGAAAGUUUUCUUCGGAGAACGAGUAAAGUGGCGCACGGGUGAGUAACGCGUAAGUAAUCUACCCUUGCAUCUGGAAUAACUACGGGAAGCUGUAGCUAAUACCGGAUACGUUCAUAGAGUUACGACUCUAUGAAGAAAGAUGACCUCUUCUUGAAAGUUAUCGUGCAGGGAGGAGCUUGCGUACCAUUAGCUAGUUGGUAGGGUAAAGGCCUACCAAGGCAACGAUGGUUAGCGGGUCUGAGAGGAUGAUCCGCCACACUGGAACUGGAACACGGACCAGACUCCUACGGGAGGCAGCAGUGAGGAAUAUUGCGCAAUGGGGGCAACCCUGACGCAGCGACGCCGCGUGGAUGAUGAAGGCCUUCGGGUCGUAAAAUCCUGUCAGAUGGGAAGAAAUGUAUGUAGGAAUAAUACCCUAUGUGCUUGACGGUACCAUCAAAG